GGGGACACGGAGACCAAGACAAUGUAUGAAAAAUGAGUAAAGUUGGAUGAAAAGUGGGUAAAGUGGUGGGACCUAUCAAUAUUUAAUAAUUGAUUUGAGAUAGUGGAGGAAAGUAGUGGGUGUAAUAGUAGUUUUUAUUGUUAAAUAUGAGAUAGUGGGGGUAGAUAGUGGGUGUAAUGAUGAGAAAAACUUACUAUUUAUAGUAACGUAAAGAAAUGAGAGGGACAUCCCA
This 232-nucleotide long non-coding RNA is filed under the name Daucus carota (carrot). RNAcentral describes it as "long non-coding RNA (DCAR_LNC004528)". Lineage: Eukaryota; Viridiplantae; Streptophyta; Magnoliopsida; Apiales; Apiaceae. The record is from RNAcentral.